GACAGAGGGUGCAAACGUUGUUCGGAAUUACUGGGCGUAAAGCGCGUGUAGGCUGCUCGGAAAGUCGGAUGUGAAAGCCCUGAGCUCAACUUAGGAAGUGCAUUCGAAACUUCCGAGCUGGAGUGCUGGAGAGGAAGGCGGAAUUCUCGGUGUAGAGGUGAAAUUCGUAGAUAUCGAGAGGAACACCGGUGGCGAAGGCGGCCUUCUGGACAGCGACUGACGCUGAGACGCGAAAGCGUGGGGAGCAAACAGG
RNAcentral lists this ribosomal RNA (253 nucleotides) under uncultured bacterium. Its description in RNAcentral is "partial 16S ribosomal RNA". It matches the Rfam family "Bacterial small subunit ribosomal RNA", at positions 524 to 776 of the family's 1533-position model. The record is from RNAcentral.